This 360-nucleotide transfer-messenger RNA is filed under the name Parundibacterium terreum. RNAcentral's name for it is "Undibacterium terreum Standard tmRNA". It matches the Rfam family "transfer-messenger RNA". From Rfam's summary of the family: Bacterial tmRNA, also known as 10Sa RNA or SsrA, is named for its dual tRNA and mRNA-like properties. Lineage: Bacteria; Pseudomonadati; Pseudomonadota; Betaproteobacteria; Burkholderiales; Oxalobacteraceae. The record is from Rfam by way of RNAcentral.
GGGGACGACCUGGUUUCGACGUGGGUUGCAAAGCAGCGCAGGGCAUACCGAGGCCAGACUACCUCGUAAAUACAAUCUGAACUUUAUAACUGCAAACGAUAACUCGUACGCAUUAGCCGCUUAAUACCGGCUAACUCUACACUAUCUCUUCCCUAGGGUAGGCUGGCAACAGCAGUAGAGUCAUUCAUAGGGAAUCGUCUCAAGUCGGGUCACUUGGCUUGGGACUAAAUAAUAGGUGGCUCGCCUGUCCGCAGCGUGCGCGUCCGCGUCGUCCAGGUUAAAUCAAAUGGCAGCGCUAAGUAUGUAGAACUGUCUGUAGAGUGCUUGCGGACGCGGGUUCGAUUCCCGCCGUCUCCACCA